RNAcentral lists this ribosomal RNA (159 nucleotides) under uncultured bacterium. Its description in RNAcentral is "partial 16S ribosomal RNA". It matches the Rfam family "Bacterial small subunit ribosomal RNA", at positions 355 to 509 of the family's 1533-position model. The record is from RNAcentral.
UGAGGAAUAUUGGUCAAUGGGCGCGAGCCUGAACCAGCCAAGUCGCGUGAGGGAUGACGGCCCUACGGGUUGUAAACCUCUUUUUGUCGGGGAGCAAAUUCCGUUACGUGUAACGGAGUCGAGAGUACCCGAAGAAAAAGCAUCGGCUAACUCCGUGCC